RNAcentral lists this long non-coding RNA (691 nucleotides) under Helianthus annuus (common sunflower). RNAcentral's name for it is "sRNA HanXRQr2_Chr07g0303091". Lineage: Eukaryota; Viridiplantae; Streptophyta; Magnoliopsida; Asterales; Asteraceae. The record is from RNAcentral.
UUGUCUUUUUGGGUUUUCCUUCAAUUUGUAUGUUUAGUAUGUUAAGAUUAUUUGUAUUUGAUCUUUUGCCUAUAUAUAUACACAUGUCGAUCAAGAGGUGGCCGGCGGUGGCAAGGCUAUUUGCUAAUUCAUAUUUCAGGGUAUCAAUUUCCAAAAUAGCACUUUAAGGGCAUAUAAUAUUUUCUUGGCACAUAUGCAAAGCUUGGUUGUACUCAAGGAUGGUUUGCGGCAUCUAUCUUCCCACCUUCAUCAAAGCUAUUGAUUAAGCAAUUGUAGGGCUGGAUACCUUGGGUGAGGAGUUUUACAACAAUAGCACCUUGACCACGCAACUCCUUUGUGACAAUCUCACUUUGUGGACCUUUGAUAUGCAGGAUGGGGCUAAUGAAAUUAAGAAAGCACUUGGUGCAAAGCAAAAUGAGGGUCUACAGCAACAACAGUGAGGCACCUCAUUCUUCUUAUCUUUGUUUCGGAGAAUUUGGCACUUAUUUAUCCAUCUUUAUUUCUUGAGCUUGUAAAUUUAGUUUCAUGUCAUUUUUGAAUGAUUAGUAAUUGUUUACUUUUGGUAACUGAUAUUUUUUUUAUUCGGUUUUUGUUUCGAUUUCACAUGCAUCUAGAUCCAGAAUGAUAAUUCGAUCGUGUUGUACUCGCGUUUUUUGGUUUUGCCUGUUUGAACCGCGCGCCUUAUGUGCAC